UACGAAGGGGGCUAGCGUUGUUCGGAAUCACUGGGCGUAAAGGGCGCGUAGGCGGCCCCCCAAGCCAGGCGUGAAAGCCCCGGGCUCAACCCGGGAGGUGCGCUUGGGACUGGGGGGCUCGAGUCCGGGAGAGGAUGGCGGAAUUCCCAGUGUAGAGGUGAAAUUCGUAGAUAUUGGGAAGAACACCGGUGGCGAAGGCGGCCAUCUGGACCGGCACUGACGCUGAGGCGCGAAAGCGUGGGGAGCAAAC
Molecule: ribosomal RNA, 250 nt
Filed under: uncultured Alphaproteobacteria bacterium
Lineage: Bacteria; Pseudomonadati; Pseudomonadota; Alphaproteobacteria
Description: partial 16S ribosomal RNA
Rfam family: Bacterial small subunit ribosomal RNA
Source: RNAcentral